UCCGCUCUUUGAGGGAGAGUGCGCUGGUAAAAGGGAGGGAGGGAAUGAGGCAAACAAGAAACAUGUAAUCACCCAAACAACCGUUUUAGUCCUUUCCCCCUGGAUUUGUGUCGUAAGAUAGCCUACAGUAUCUACUUCAAAGGAUACACAGGGGGCCGCGAGACUGUUACAAUGGGACUUGAAGCUUUUGGGAGAAUUGGCACCUGAAUCGGAGAGAGGUUUGUGCAGAGCGUCCCCAUCAAUCACGACAACUGUGUUUCCAAGGUGAUGUUGUUGAGAUUGUAAAUAAGAAGAGGCAGACGUCACAGAACCUGAAGGAUAUGGGACACAGACAGCAAACGUAUAAUUACAGCUGUAUCGUACGAAGUGAGUUCCUUCCAACCAUACCUUUCAUUGUCACCUACCACAGCAGUUUGUAUUUUCGUCUUCCAUUUUCUUUUACGUAUACAUAAAAGCAGAUUUCAUUGGCUGUUUGCUGAAAUCUAUGAAAACACAAUUUCAAUGAGGUCCACAAUUUUAUUUUAUGUAUUUGAUUUUUUUUAAAGUAAGUGUCUUUUUUAAGAUGUCCGUCUUAGACCAUACCUGAUUCCCUUUAUUUAAUACGAUUGACAGAUUCUUCUAUUUCCCCUUGAGAUAAUAGCCUACUGUACCUCCUCUAAGGCCUGUCUAUGACAGGGAUGAUACAAUAAUGUAUAACAUGUUGUGCAAAGUGAGAUCUUUACGAUCUAAUAUAAUAUGUUAUUGUCUUAAUGCUUGAUAGUCACAACAGUAUUUGCCGAGAAAAGGGGAUUGCUAGGCGUUGUCCCCACAGUUUCAUCAGCACUAUUGCUAUUAUUGACGUACAGUGUGUCCCCGAAUAUGUCAACAUGAUAGAUAUUAUAUAUUAUAGAAACUAUUGAAAAACAUAGCUGUGAGCAGCGAUGAACGGGACUCAAAGGGUGACCGAAAGGACACAAAAUCAGUGGGACUAUCUUUCUUUAUAUGCAAUUAGUGAAAACAUGAACAUGUUUAUCUCGCAAUACCACAAGGAUGAUGCAAGUUAAGUAAGUUGAGUGCAAUAGGUUGGUGAUCUUUGAAUGCAGCAGGUAUUCAUUCUUACAGUCAGUACUUAAUGUAUUGACUUUACAUACCAAUUCUGGGGUCAAUUUGACUAAUGGUUUAUGUUAAAAUAUGUCAAAUAUUUUUAGCAUUAUCUUCACGAUAUUUGACAUUGUUCAUCUGCAUAAUUUAAAUCUAACAUUAAUUUGCAUGAGACAAGGUCCUCUUGAUAAAUAGUUAAUUCUCUAGUAUCAUAUGGUGCCACUGGUGCCAAUGCCAUCUAUAGUGCCACCAAUUGGUCUGGUGCAGCCAUCUAAGGUUGCAGUGACUUUAUAUUCACACAGCUUCUAAGGACAUACAUAAGGUUUACAUAGCAAAUGUCAUGGCUCCAUGUCCAUCAGUUCAAUUCUUAUAGCCCUGGUGUGAUAUGAUACCGUCUACAGUAAUGUUGCAGUGUGGCCAACUUUAAAUGCAGCAAGUAAUCAUUCUCAAAUUCAUUAGAGGCUAAUUGAUUGAGUCUGUAUACCAAAUCUGGAUUAAAUCAGAUGUAUUGUUCAUGAGAAGAUUUUUUAAAGUAUUUUUAGAAUAUCUGCUAACGGGCAUCUGUAGGUACAGGGCUGGCAUCUUUGAAUAUGGAAACAAUUCUUUCUCAAAACCGUUCAAGAGUGAUGAAAUGAGUCUACGUACAAAAUCUGGAGUGAAUCUGACAUAUGGUUCAUGAGGAGAAGAUGAUUGCAGAUGAUUUUGAGCAUUAGCAUUACAUAUGCAAAGAUUGAGUUGUUAAUAGUUACCUUGUUUUUGAGACAUCACUGCCAAAUGAAGUGUGGUUCAUCUUAGGGACAUCCAUGAUAGCGAUUUCCCAUUUCAAGUUGAUAGGCCCAUGUGGAAUGGAUUUUAAAUGAACACGUAAAAUCCACAUUUUGAUCUUUUGACCAAUCCCUUAGCUAUUCUCAACCUAAGUUAAGACAUGAACCAUGGGCCUACAUUCCAAAGUUGGUGUCAGUUGGUCCUAUGGUUUAUGAAAAUAUAUAUAUUUUUUAAUUGCGCAUUUUAGCAUAUUAGCAUAUGUGAUAAUAUGCAUCUACUUGUGUAGUGUGGCCAUCUUUGAAUGCAUCAAUGUUAUAUUAUCAAACACUUUAUGGAUUAUUAUGAUGAGUCCAAAGCCUACAUUUGGAUUGAAUCUGACUUUUAGUCCAUGAGAAGAAGAUUUUUUAUAAUUAUUUUUAGCAUUAGCAUUUCGUAGUCAAAAUAGUGAAUUGUUAAUAGUUUCCUAAAAAAAGUGGGUCAUUAUAGUUAUGUCUUUAAUGACCUUAAAACGUUUCAAGUUGAUAGGCCAUUGUUAAGUGGAUUUACAAAGGAUUUAAAUGGACAUGUAAAAUCAGCCAUCUCUUAACCAAUCCAUUAGCCUUCUCAAACUAAGUUAAGAGAUGUACCAUGGGCCUACAUUCAGAAUAUGUGUGUUAUUUGGACUUGUGAUUCACGAGAAUACGUUUUUCAUAGGUUUUCUAAAAUGUCCAAGGUGGUGGAAAAUAUAUCCUGAUGGACCUUAUGGGUCCUUGAGGCACAUUUAUUCAACAUGAGGAAAGACACCUACAUACAAAGUUUCAAGUCUCUAGGUCAAAUGGGGUGACAGAUAUGAGUGUUUAAGUAAGACUGCUUAUUGUACCGCCCCUAUAGGCCAAUCGGUGCCAUUAUUUUUGACCAAUUUACUCAUGGCCUCUAAAUUCUGUGUGGGGAGAGACUGGUGCCCAAAAUUGAUGACGUAUGUCGUGCAGUGAGAGUUGAGUGGGGACGGUUCAGUCAGUUCAGUCUGUCUUCUAAUGAGCACUCCCCAGGUAGCUAGUUUAUGCUUGUGGCGUGAAACUUCAAAAAGAAUUUGAAACUUGUCUGCCGAAGUUGGGACUUGGGAGAGUGUUCAGAAUUAUUAUAUAUAUUUUUUUUACAAAAAUGUAGACGUUAAUGGCGUAGUUGUACAUUUUCGGUGAAAAUUACUACAAUAAAUGUGCUUUAGCUGUCAUCCUGGCCUGAUAUUGGCUACACUAUCUAGCUACUUCCCUCUCCUUACUGCAGGACAGAAGUGCUCGGCAUUAUUCGGCAUAGCAGGAACGAAGGAGACACUGUUGUUGUGUUGUCGGCUUGCUGUGCAAACUCUCCUCACUGAGCAAUAGACUGCAUCAGGGUAACAUCCAGAUGGUUACUACCAAUAUUACAACUUACUAUCAAUAUUACAAGUUACUAUAUUACUCGGAAGUAUAAUCAAGUGGAAUGGAACAAAUUGCCCAUGUUAGCUACCGCCAGUGACGUGAUACAGCUGCCUGAUAAAGCAACUACUGCCCAGUGGGAAGCAUCUCGAUGCAACACCAUUGCACUGGUCAUUUAUACCACCAGGUUACGUUAGCUAAUUGGCAUGUCACGGUGACAGCCAGAUGGUCACCAAUUCUGCAAGUUAUUUCUCCCUCGCCCAUCGAAAUAAACAAUUGCUUUCUUUUUUGAAUAAGAGCCACGCUGCUGUUGUUGCCACUUCACUCUCAGCUGCGCGACAUACGUCAUCAAUUUGGGCACCAGGCCUGUCCCUUAGUGUGCCAAUUUAUUUAUUUUUUGUUACCAUUCUAUG
Molecule: non-coding RNA, 3652 nt
Organism: Salmo salar (Atlantic salmon)
Lineage: Eukaryota; Metazoa; Chordata; Actinopteri; Salmoniformes; Salmonidae
Source: RefSeq, a predicted model, not a curated record